UGGGGAAUAUUGGACAAUGGGCGAAAGCCUGAUCCAGCCAUGCCGCGUGAGUGACGAAGGCCUUAGGGUUGUAAAGCUCUUUUGGCGGGGAAGAUAAUGACGGUACCCGCAGAAUAAGCUCCGGCUAACUUCGUGCCAGCAGCCGCGGUAAUACGAAGGGAGCUAGCGUUGUUCGGAAUCACUGGGCGUAAAGCGCACGUAGGCGGAUUUGUUAGUCAGGGGUGAAAUCCCGGGGCUCAACCUCGGAACUGCCUUUGAUACUGCAAAUCUCGAGUCCGAGAGAGGUGGGUGGAAUUCCUAGUGUAGAGGUGAAAUUCGUAGAUAUUAGGAAGAACACCGGUGGCGAAGGCGGCCCACUGGCUCGGUACUGACGCUGAGGUGCGAAAGCGUGGGGAGCAAACAGG
Molecule: ribosomal RNA, 404 nt
Filed under: uncultured bacterium
Lineage: Bacteria
Description: bacterial SSU rRNA
Rfam family: Bacterial small subunit ribosomal RNA
Source: RNAcentral